Non-coding RNA from Biomphalaria pfeifferi, 273 nucleotides. NCBI's taxonomy places the organism in Eukaryota, Metazoa, Mollusca, Gastropoda, Planorbidae. The record is from the annotation of a GenBank genome assembly.
CUUGGAAUCGAAUUGGAUUUUAUUAUUUUCAAAUAUUGCAACGUAUCAAAUUUUUAACAAGAAAGUAAACUUUACUACGAAAAUUAAUAGCGAAACAUGUAACAAAUAUGACUAGUGGCGGAGAUUCUCACGUAACAAAAAUGUUCGAAAACAAAGAUAUUUAAUACAAUUUCUAACACUUGGCCAGAAUGCCACCCAGCCGAAUUUAACUCGGUAAUGAUCAAUAAUGUCAAAAACUUCUUAGAGUUCAUCUUUUGCACCUUUAGCAUCUUU